CAAUAGCGUAUAUUAAAGUUGUUGCGGUUAAAAGCUCGUAGUUGGAUUUCUGCUGAGGACGACCGGUCCGCCCUCCGGGUGAGCAUCUGGUUCGGCCUUGGCAUCUUCUUGGUGAACGUAUCUGCACUUGACUGUGUGGUGCGGUACCCAGGACUUUUACUUUGAGGAAAUUAGAGUGUUUCAAGCAGGCAUACGCCUUGAAUACAUUAGCAUGGAAUAAUAAGAUAGGACCUCGGUUCUAUUUUGUUGGUUUCUAGAGCUGAGGUAAUGAUUAAUGAGGGAUGAGUUGGGGCAUUCGUUAUUAACUGUCAGAGGUGAAAUUCUUGGAUUUCCGAAAGACGAACUACUGCGAAAGCAUUUACCAAGGAUGUUUUCAUUAAUCAAGAACGAAAGUUAGGGGAUCGAAGACGAUCAGAU
RNAcentral lists this ribosomal RNA (417 nucleotides) under uncultured eukaryote. Its description in RNAcentral is "SSU rRNA". It matches the Rfam family "Eukaryotic small subunit ribosomal RNA", at positions 592 to 1013 of the family's 1831-position model. The record is from RNAcentral.